Aethalodelphis obliquidens (Pacific white-sided dolphin) is the source of this 127-nucleotide long non-coding RNA. RefSeq lists it as uncharacterized. The record is from RefSeq and is a predicted model, not a curated record. Lineage: Eukaryota; Metazoa; Chordata; Mammalia; Artiodactyla; Delphinidae. The transcript has 3 exons.
CAUGAAAGCAGAAAUCGACAGUAGCACAGUAAUAAUGGGGAACUUUAACACUUCACUUACACCAAUGGACAGAUCAUCGAAAAUGAAAAUAAAUAAGGAAAACAGAAGCUUUAAAUGACACAACAGA